This 362-nucleotide long non-coding RNA is filed under the name Oryza sativa Indica Group (long-grained rice). RNAcentral's name for it is "lncRNA OsMH63_10G009550". Lineage: Eukaryota; Viridiplantae; Streptophyta; Magnoliopsida; Poales; Poaceae. The record is from RNAcentral.
CCAAGAUGUGGAGGCGGCAUCAGGCUCUCCUUCGCUGCAUCUCACCGCUUAAGCAUCCAGCGGGCUGGCCUGCUAGGGGGAUCGGAUGCUACUACGCCACCGAGCCGGAGGGCAGGAAGCCAAAGACGGCUCCUUUUGCAGUCAAGGGGCAUGGUGGAUAGGUUCCGUUUGCGUGCCAAAGGUGGUGAUGGCGGCAAUGGCUGCAUCAGUCUUCCUUGCUCCAGGUCAGGAUCGCCAAGGCAAGCCUGAUGGUUUAACGACUCCCCUGCUGCACAGCCCAUGGAAUUGUCACAUGGUGCUAGCAGUAAUCUUUUUGUGUAUUUGUUUGUGGUGUAAUAAUGCCUGGUCGUGAUCAACAUUAG